RNAcentral lists this ribosomal RNA (253 nucleotides) under uncultured bacterium. RNAcentral's name for it is "partial 16S ribosomal RNA". It matches the Rfam family "Bacterial small subunit ribosomal RNA", at positions 524 to 776 of the family's 1533-position model. The record is from RNAcentral.
CACGUAGGGUGCGAGCGUUGUUCGGAAUUACUGGGCGUAAAGGGCUCGUAGGCGGCCAACUAAGUCAGACGUGAAAUCCCUCGGCUCAACCGGGGAACUGCGUCUGAUACUGGAUGGCUUGAGUUCGGGAGAGGGAUGCGGAAUUCCAGGUGUAGCGGUGAAAUGCGUAGAUAUCUGGAGGAACACCGGUGGCGAAGGCGGCAUCCUGGACCGACACUGACGCUGAGGAGCGAAAGCCAGGGGAGCAAACGGG